This 339-nucleotide ribosomal RNA is filed under the name uncultured Glomeromycotina. RNAcentral describes it as "eukaryotic LSU rRNA". The record is from RNAcentral. Lineage: Eukaryota; Fungi; Glomeromycota.
AUCAACUUAUCGUGUGCGAACUUGUGGGCGUGCAUGAGUUUCGGCCUCGCUGUUUGCAUGUUUGUGCGUUUUGGGUGUACUUUUUCGUAUGGUAGGCCAACGUCAGUUUCGAUUAUCAUAAAAUGACCGGCGGAAUGUAGCUUCGAUUUCGGUUGAAGUGUUAUAGCCUCUGGUAGAUGUGGUGAUUGAGACUGAGGAUUGCAACGAAUACCCUUUGGGCUAUCCGUCUGGCCUCUGAAAGUUGCUCAGGUGCCGAAAGCGUGCUUACGGUCAUCUAAGAUAACGUUCAACAGGUUAGAACGUGAUUACAUUCGUUAAGGACGUUGGCGUAAUGGCUUU